GAUGAACGCUAGCGGCAGGCCUAACACAUGCAAGUCGAGGGGUAGAAGGAGCUUGCUCCUUUGAGACCGGCGCACGGGUGCGUAACGCGUAUGCAAUCUACCUUGUACAGAGGAAUAGCCCAGAGAAAUUUGGAUUAAUGCCCCAUAGUAUAUAACCUUCGCAUGUUGGUUAUAUUAAAGUUCCAACGGUACAAGAUGAGCAUGCGUCCCAUUAGUUAGUUGGUAAGGUAACGGCUUACCAAGACGAUGAUGGGUAGGGGUCCUGAGAGGGAGAUCCCCCACACUGGUACUGAGACACGGACCAGACUCCUACGGGAGGCAGCAGUGAGGAAUAUUGGUCAAUGGUCGCAAGACUGAACCAGCCAUGCCGCGUGCAGGAAGACGGUCCUAUGGAUUGUAAACUGCUUUUAUACAGGAAGAAACCCUCCCACGUGUGGGAGCUUGACGGUACUGUAGGAAUAAGGAUCGGCUAACUCCGUG
Molecule: ribosomal RNA, 480 nt
Filed under: uncultured bacterium
Lineage: Bacteria
Description: partial 16S ribosomal RNA
Rfam family: Bacterial small subunit ribosomal RNA
Source: RNAcentral